AACCUAGCACACCUGCGGUGUGUACCUGCGGAAGGAUCAUUACCGAGUUUACAAACUCCCAACCCUUUGUGAACCUUACCAUAUUGUUGCUUCGGCGGGACCGCCCCGGCGCCUUCGGGCCCGGAACCAGGCGCCCGCCGGAGGCCCCAAACUCUUAUGUCUUUAGUGGUUUUCUCCUCUGAGUGACACAUAAACAAAUAAAUAAAAACUUUUAGCAACGGAUCUCAGAUCGGAAGAGCA
RNAcentral lists this unclassified non-coding RNA (240 nucleotides) under soil metagenome. RNAcentral's name for it is "partial contains 5.8S ribosomal RNA, internal transcribed spacer 2, and large subunit ribosomal RNA". The record is from RNAcentral.